GCUUCUUUUUUUGUUCAUUUCCCUUUUAAUUUAAAUUUUGUUUUACAGUUUUUGCUUUUACCUGGCUAGUUUUGGAACAAGAACUAUAUUUGUUUUGCAAUUUUAGGUGGCUAAUCAACAGUUAAUUCGGGUAAACAGCUUGUUCUUCAACGUUCAAGCGAACACCCUUUUGUUUUCUACAUUAGAAUGCCCAUUACAUUGGGCAUUUAGGCUUGAAAUUUUGAAAUAAUAUGGUCCUUAAUCCUCAAAGACCCAGGUUGUAUUGUUUGGUAUUUGAUGUACGUUUUAUCAAGUAGCCAGGUGUUGGUGUGAAUUCCGUAGAUUUCACAUAUAAUUUUUUUAAACUUCUUUUUUAGAACAAUGACUCUGGGGAUUGGAGGAUAACAUCAAAUUGGUGCAAAUAUCAUCUCUUGACAAUCUGAAUUGUCCUCUGGAGAAACAGUCUUUGACUGGUUUGAGGGAGGAGAGAAAGGAAGAAGCUUUUGAUCAAUGGGACUCUUGUGAAGCAUGAGAGCCCUGCUGUUGGUAAUGUUGAUUUAAGGAGUAAAUGUUUGGAUGCUAGCAUGGUGGUUCUGGAGAUUCUAUUUUUCUGCAUGUUCAUCAUGUUGGAACUCAUGCCGUCUGCACUUUAGUAAAUUGAGACCCUAAUCUGGCAUGUACUGUGUUGAACAUGUUGCACUAUCAUGGUGGAUUCCCUUUCCCAUGAAAAUACAGCUCAUAUUUUUCAGUUUAGGACAUCACAGGAAAUUCCCUGCUAAGAAGUUUGGUGCUGUGCAAUGAAGACCAUUCAUUGUAACAGUGGGCACUAGUUCUAAUCUUUUCCAGUUCAAUUUCUUGGUCAACUAAAGGUAAUAGGAAUGUGAAAUGUAAAAACUAGAUAUUGGUGCCAAAAUCAUCUCUGUGCCCUUAUCUCCAUGCCCAAUAUUUAAGAAGUUACCUCCAUGUAUCCCAACCUACAUGCUUAAACCUCUGAACGUAGAUGGUAAGUUAGUAACCUGCAUCAUAACUAUGAAUUUCCUCUAGGCUAUACCCAGUUUAUCCAUUCAUUACCAUUUGUUUUAGCAUUCAAUGGAAUUGCUGGGGAAUGCAGAUAUGAUAUCCAUUAACCUGUUCCAUGCCAACUUCAUUAAUGCCUUUGCAAGAAGCCUUUUAUUGAAAUGCUUUGCUUAGUGCAGCCAUAUCGCUACCCAGUGAAAUAUGUGUUUAAUUUCUAACUUGAUGCAUGUAACUAGAAAAUGCUCUAGAAUUGCUGUGUCAUUGCACAUAAUUGCAGGCUAUCCAGCUUUGCUGAUUAAGAGGUCACUAGAAUGGGCGACAACACUGAUCUGCAGUUUUGGUGAUGAUAGGACCUGAAUUUUUAUGUGGUGACAAAGUUUCACGUAUUGCAACCAGAUUGGCGGACCCAUGGCAAUUACUAGCAUUUCAAAAGGCUCUGUUGAUCGAUUCUUUCUCGUGGAUAGCCAGAAUUACCAAUUGCUGCAAGUGCUUUCUGCGCCAGCCAUGGUGCCUAUUUGGUCAUCAACUGCGACAUGUGCAAAAGGAAAAGGUUUCCUCUUUUUCCACUGUGGAGCAAGAGCCACGUGUUGUGGCCAACAUUGUCUGUACAUUCCAAAUUCAUUUCCUUUUCACGGGUUAUACAGGAACGGCAUGCUGUGUUUAUCUGGCUUUCCAACUAUAUAGGGCAGUUGCCUUUGAAAAAGAAAAACUGUAUAGGGCAAUUUCCUGAAUUCAUGUUUUUUAACACAUUCAAAUGCUUAUGUCCAAUGUUGGAUGCGAAUAUAUACCUUGAAAAAAAAGA
This is a long non-coding RNA of Theobroma umbraticum, 1798 nucleotides long. RefSeq lists it as uncharacterized. The record is from RefSeq and is a predicted model, not a curated record. NCBI's taxonomy places the organism in Eukaryota, Viridiplantae, Streptophyta, Magnoliopsida, Malvales, Malvaceae.